GUGGAAUUUGUUUUUUUAUGUCUCAUCAAUCUGACCCUAUUUAGUGUGUGUGUGUGAGAGAGAGAGAGAGAGAGCGAGCGCGCAAGAGCGAGCGAGCGAGAGUGCGAACCCCCUGGGUAUAAUCCAGCAGAUGUCACUACAUCCACAGCUACAAUGGAGGAGGCCAGUUGACCCUUCGACCACAUUGUACCCUCAGGUGACCUGAGCUGAUAAAUCAUCUUUUAUAAAAGACGAUUUCCCUGGAAAUACUUGAGAAUAGUCCCCCCCCCCCCCCCCAUGGGCUCUAUAUCUGUGUCUUCAUUCUUGAUGAAGUUUUCAUUUGGCAUCUGCUUAUAGUUCAAAUGAUGCGGAAUGAGAGGCAGAAUGCUGUAUACCUCAAUAAAGGCAGUGCCCACGGUGCGAGGAGAUCGAUUUCGGCCCUGCGUGGAGCCCUGACCACACAGCCAUACUGAUAAAGUGGAAUUGCACCGGUGUGGAUGGAGGAGUACAGGGAAGAGUUUCUGCUGGACUGGCCAGAUAAAGGCUAGGACGUGAAGUAGGUAGGGCGAAGUGGUGGAAAACAGCCUCAACGGGUGAGGCAUAUAGGUAGGUGUCUGUAAAUCUCACAACUGUUGUAUUUGUUGAUAUUUUCAAGUAGUGUGUUGCUUCCUGACAACACAAUAUACUGAAUGGUUG
Ictalurus punctatus (channel catfish) is the source of this 675-nucleotide long non-coding RNA. The record is from Ensembl. NCBI's taxonomy places the organism in Eukaryota, Metazoa, Chordata, Actinopteri, Siluriformes, Ictaluridae.